UACGUAGGGUGCAAGCGUUGUCCGGAAUCAUUGGGCGUAAAGAGCGUGUAGGCGGCCCGGUAAGUCCGCUGUGAAAGUCGGGGGCUCAACCCUCGAAUGCCGGUGGAUACUGUCGGGCUAGAGUGCGGAAGAGGCGAGUGGAAUUCCUGGUGUAGCGGUGAAAUGCGCAGAUAUCAGGAGGAACACCGAUUGCGAAGGCAGCUCGCUGGGACGUCACUGACGCUGAGACGCGAAAGCGUGGGGAGCAAACAGG
RNAcentral lists this ribosomal RNA (253 nucleotides) under uncultured bacterium. Its description in RNAcentral is "partial 16S ribosomal RNA". It matches the Rfam family "Bacterial small subunit ribosomal RNA", at positions 524 to 776 of the family's 1533-position model. The record is from RNAcentral.